Triticum aestivum (bread wheat) is the source of this 221-nucleotide non-coding RNA. Lineage: Eukaryota; Viridiplantae; Streptophyta; Magnoliopsida; Poales; Poaceae. The record is from Rfam.
UUGGGCUUACUUGAACAUGAUCUGUUCUAUAGGCUCGUACCGCUGCAUCAUUUACCAACAAGGAGGCAAGCACUUCAGUCUGCUUGAUGCAUUCUGUCUCUGGGCCAGAGCGUGUUUAACGGCCAGGAUUUUCCUGAUGGGGCAAUCCGAUGGCUGUAGAGGAUCGUUCCUGCCUGGCUCUCACGCCUGUGUCAGGUGGCCCAGAGGUUGUCUGACAGACU